This is a non-coding RNA of Pelobates cultripes (western spadefoot toad), 242 nucleotides long. The record is from the annotation of a GenBank genome assembly. Lineage: Eukaryota; Metazoa; Chordata; Amphibia; Anura; Pelobatidae.
UAGGCCCCUACGCUCUGCCAGAGACCGACGUCUAACCUCUGUUCAUUCUCCUACCUCUGACGCUCACCUUAAAGACUUCUCUAGGGCUGCACUGUUCCCAUGGAACACCCUCUCUCUGUUAGACUUUCACCCAAUCUCCACUCCUUCAAAAAAUCGAUGAAAAUGUACUUCUUUAGGAAAGCAUAUCAAUUAAACUGUGAAUAGUUUUCCCUCCCCGCACCCUGAUUCUUCUCCUGAAACUG